Rhipicephalus sanguineus (brown dog tick) is the source of this 1017-nucleotide long non-coding RNA. RefSeq lists it as uncharacterized. The record is from RefSeq and is a predicted model, not a curated record. The transcript is spliced from 3 exons. NCBI's taxonomy places the organism in Eukaryota, Metazoa, Arthropoda, Arachnida, Ixodida, Ixodidae.
GAGUUCACUCGUGAGCACGCAGCGGGCGUCGCUUCACGACGCGAAAAGGCUUAGCUUGUCACCGGAGGGGUUGUUAGCACUUUAAUAAAAAGUGCACAGAAAAAAAAAAAGACAGCUUGGCCGCUAAGCGCACGUUUUUAAGGGCGAGUCCAUAUACAACGAACUACUGAUAUAACGACCACUUUUCGCGACACUUUCGAAUUCGUUAUAAACGGGUUUGACUUAAUUUAUAACUUCUCAAAAUUACAUCGUAUGUCUCCCCUGUGCACUUUCUAAACGUUCAGGUUUCCAGCACAACAAAAGUUAUCGAGAUUGACGGUGCCAAAGCUGAGAAAAGCUUGUCAGAAGAUUGCAAGGUUACGAAAAAAUGAAACUAACGAAAUAGCAAAAAACAAAACUCUGUCCGUCACUGGUGUGACAUGAAAUGUGGUUACGGCUAAAACAAUGAUCUAGGAUGCAUGAAAAGGGGCGAAAGUAUGCAUCAGUAGUGGCAAAAUGCAAAAAAUCACAUUUUCAAAAAAUUGAUCUCUUAUGCAAUUUUUGGUUCCAAAAAGUAGCUUCUGUCCAUAAAGUCUCAAUGGCGGCCUCAUGGUGUCGCCAGGUGGUGCCAGCAACAUGACAGUGAAUAACUACUGCUACUUAAGAAGUAAUUCAUCACACUUGUGAAAACGGUUGUGGCGUAUAAGAUGCGACAUAAUUAUAGCGCAAAAAUAGAAAGUAAAAUAACUCUGAGAAGAGAAGAAGAAACACAGUGAACAGGACGAGUAAGGGUGAGCAGGAGUGAUGUGAUGGCGAGGAGAAUGGAAAGGAGGAUGGGAGAGGACAAAGCAAUGCAUAGGUGAUUAUAAUUUAGUACAGCGAUGAGAGAAGGUGAGAGGGCCUUGUACAAUAUGGUGGUAUAGCAAGGGGUGGGAAAGGACAGUGAGCUGGAGUGACCCGAGGGCGAGGAGGAAGGAAAUGAGAAGGGGAGGUAUUGCGUAGCCUUGUAUAGUAUUGUAUGCAAGGUGUGGGAAAGGA